CCUACGGGUGGCAGCAGUGGGGAAUCUUAGACAAUGGGCGCAAGCCUGAUCUAGCCAUGCCGCGUGAGCGAUGAAGGCCUUAGGGUUGUAAAGCUCUUUCAGGGGGGAAGAUAAUGACUGUACCCCCAGAAGAAGCCCCGGCUAACUCCGUGCCAGCAGCCGCGGUAAUACGGAGGGGGCUAGCGUUGUUCGGAAUUACUGGGCGUAAAGCGCACGUAGGCGGACGGAGAAGUCAGAGGUGAAAUCCCAGGGCUCAACCUUGGAACUGCCUUUGAAACUUUCUGUCUUGAGGUCGAGAGAGGUGAGUGGAAUUCCGAGUGUAGAGGUGAAAUUCGUAGAUAUUCGGAGGAACACCAGUGGCGAAGGCGGCUCACUGGCUCGAUACUGACGCUGAGGUGCGAAAGCGUGGGGAGCAAACAGGAUUAGAUACCCCUGUAGUC
This 440-nucleotide ribosomal RNA is filed under the name uncultured bacterium. Its description in RNAcentral is "bacterial SSU rRNA". It matches the Rfam family "Bacterial small subunit ribosomal RNA", at positions 338 to 795 of the family's 1533-position model. The record is from RNAcentral.